RNAcentral lists this long non-coding RNA (400 nucleotides) under Manihot esculenta (cassava). RNAcentral describes it as "long non-coding RNA (MESC_LNC000644)". Lineage: Eukaryota; Viridiplantae; Streptophyta; Magnoliopsida; Malpighiales; Euphorbiaceae. The record is from RNAcentral.
UCACUUGGGUUCCAAUUGCCGGGGUCAUGUUUCCAUUGAUGAUCAUGCUUUUGGUUCCAGUAAGACAAUAUGUCCUUCCUAAAUUUUUCAAAGGAGCACACCUUCAGGACCUGGAUGCAGCAGAGUAUGAAGAAGCUCCAGCUCUGCCAUACAAUAUUGCUACAGUAAGAUUUCUUUUCUGACCCAAAAAAAAAAAAUAAACCAAAGUUCACAUCCUAAGAUUGCUUCAUUCAUAUAUAUAAUUUCUUCGUUAUGUUUGUUUACAGGAGUCUGAGCUGGGGGCUGGGGCUACUCGUGCAGGGGAUGGAGAGAUACUAGAUGAAGUUAUUACCCGUAGCCGAGGAGAGUUCAGGCAUGUGAGCAGUCCUAAAAUUACAAGUACUACUGGAACCCCUGCAAA